RNAcentral lists this ribosomal RNA (462 nucleotides) under uncultured bacterium. RNAcentral describes it as "bacterial SSU rRNA". It matches the Rfam family "Bacterial small subunit ribosomal RNA", at positions 341 to 793 of the family's 1533-position model. The record is from RNAcentral.
ACGGGAGGCAGCAGUGGGGAAUAUUGCACAAUGGGCGCAAGCCUGAUGCAGCCAUGCCGCGUGUAUGAAGAAGGCCUUCGGGUUGUAAAGUACUUUUCAGCAGUGAGGAAGGUGGAGUCGUUAAUAGCGGCCUCAUUUGACGUUAGCUGCAGAAGAAGCACCGGCUAACUCCGUGCCAGCAGCCGCGGUAAUACGGAGGGUGCGAGCGUUAAUCGGAAUUACUGGGCGUAAAGCGCAUGCAGGUGGUUUGUUAAGUCAGAUGUGAAAGCCCGGGGCUCAACCUCGGAAUUGCAUUUAGAAACUGGCAGACUAGAGUACUGUAGAGGGGGUAGAAUUUCAGGUGUAGCGGUGAAAAUGCGUAGAGAUCUGAAGGAAUACCGGUGGCGAAGGCGGCCCCCUGGACAGAUACUGACACUCAGAUGCGAAAGCGUGGGGAGCAAACAGGAUUAGAUACCCUGGUAG